CCUCCGCCGCCAAACUUCUCCGCGCUCGCAGCCCUGCUGGCCUCCGCCUCCGCCCCGGCCCCCGCGCUGGGCUCCGAGGCGAGGGCGCCCUUGGGCCGGCUGCGGCCCAGCCGCUCCCCGCGUUCCCUUCCCGCUUCUCGCGGCCCCCGCUCUGCUCCCGAGUCUCCUCCUCCCCGCGGAGUACUCGGGGCUGUGCGCGGGCGGGGGCGGGGCUGCUCGCGGGGAAUGCCGGCCCCCGCCCCGCACCCCACCCCGGGCGCCGCCACCCGGGCCCAGUCGGUCUGAGCGGCGCGGACCGAGAGGGGGAGGGCUGCGGCGCAGCUGGCGAGGAAGUGGCGGCGAUGCCUGGGGCGGGGAGGAGGACUGCGCGGUCCCCGACCCCGUCACCACGGGCCUGCACUCCGGGCCCGGGCUCGUCUCUCCCAUCUGCUUAACCGUCUCUUGGAGGCGGCAGAUGUGUGAUGGAGACAGAGCGAGGUCCUCACUAAGUUGGCGACGUCAGGGUUAACUAGGAGUGAAUGGGGGCGCCGUUCAGUAAGGACGGGAUCCCCCGCUACCAUCCUUACGUCCUAUUCACUGCGGUCUCAGAUUCUAGGAGGUCCCGGGAGGCCUAGAAAUGGGAGAAGUCAGAUUGGGGGGUCCUGGGCCCCAAAGCCUAAAUCUUGCCUUUCCUACCCCAGAGCUAAGUGACCAUGCCCAGGCUUCAUUUGACCACGUGGACAAAGGAAAGCACCCCCAAAAGAGACCAUCUCCAGAAGCAGAGGCUCUAGCUGUAAACGGUGCCAGCGGCCGGCCUGGCAGGGGCCAGCUCUUCCUAGAGGCUCAGGGGCUCCUCCAGGAGGCAUCUCACAGUCAGUCUGCAGCCUACACCAAGGCCGUGCCCUUCCACUCCUCUUCCUUUUCUCUUCCCACCACCCACUCACUCACUAGUUUGCCCUUCUUCCUUCCUCUCCGAAACUGGCUCCUUUCCAUUAGUGAGAGCUGCAAUUAAUGCAGUCAUCUUCAUAAAGCAAACACAUAACCCCGUGCCCAGGAUCCGACCUGCGACCAUCUCACCAGCAAUGACUGCUCCCCUGAAACACUGAGAAGGGAAUUAACUUGGUUCUAAUUAGGAAUCCCCAGCUGUGUUUGAAGUCUGCAAGUCCAAACAGCAGACGUGGCUGAGGAUGGCAGAAUCCAGCCACCCUCCAUCUCCAUCUCCAGCGCUCUUCCAUUAUUGCCCGCUGUCUGCCACAUCAAACAGAACAAGACUGCUACAUGGAUUUCUUUCCCUUUUGUCUCUUCCUUUCACUCCAGGGCCCCCAGUUUUCUGAGUAACUUAAAUCAUUACUAAAAGAUGUCUAGGUUCACAGACCAAACCCUUUCAAAGCAAGGCAUGGGCUCCCAAAAGUUGAGCUCAGAAAAGCACAGAAAAAAACUUUCCCAGUCCCGGGAUUUAGCCAAUCACGCAUUCAGGGAAAUAAUCCGCUACUUUGCGAGGUCUUACCUUCCUUCCCUGCCACCUCCUUGGGGCCUGGCUGGCCCAGGAUCCCAUUUCUGAAUUCUCUUUGGGCCCCAAGACUUCAGCAUGACCUUCACUGUGCUAUAGGCAGGUCCCGUCUCCUCAGUAAACCAUCUGUUCUGUCUUACCCAUCAGGCCAGUCACAGUGGCUCACACCUAUAAUCCCAGCACUUUGGGAGGCUGAGGCAGGAGGAUCUCUUGAGGCUGGGAGUUCAAAACCAGCCUGAGCAAUAUAGCAAGACCCCGCCUCUACAAAAAAAUAAAAAACCUAGCCAGGUAUGGUAGCAUGGGACCUAUAGUCUAGCUGCUUGGGACUAGCUGAGGUCGGAGGAUCCCUUGAGCCCAGGAAUUCUAGUUUGCAGUGAGCCGGAAUGUCAUAGCUAGAAGACCAAAAUAAACAAAUAAAUAAAUAUAA
Callithrix jacchus (white-tufted-ear marmoset) is the source of this 1916-nucleotide non-coding RNA. The record is from RefSeq and is a predicted model, not a curated record. Lineage: Eukaryota; Metazoa; Chordata; Mammalia; Primates; Cebidae.